GUCCUAAUGUGUAAAUAUCAACCUUCGCUUUGCCGAGAUGUCAUCUUCGAUGAAGGCCAACCAAAUUUCUAACGACACGGAGCAACAGGUAUCACAGCCCGCGGGCACACCUGGUCCUGUGCGAGCCAACCAGAGCCCCUCCCCCGUGAGGCAGCGGGUCUCCCAGCAGACCCUGCUCCUGGGGAAAGGUCUCAAAGGGUCUGGGCCAGACCAGGUGCUGCUCAGAGCUCAGAUGCUGAUUCUCACGUCUGCUAUGCGACCUUCCCUUUCCUCUUCCUCCUCUUCCUCCUCUCCUCCUUCCUCUAACCAUGCCUCCGCUAAGCUCCAGAGCCUCACCCUGAGGCCCCCCCCCCACGGGGCCCUCACCAUCCCUCCCUCCCUUCGCCUCAAGCCGCCGUGCUCGGCUCAGCAUCGACUCUCUCGCCCUCAUGCCCCCCUCUUCCCCCCCCUGAGGCCGCGCCCGCAGUCCUGCCACACGGCGACGGAGAGACCAAACGCGCCCGGGCGCCACCUCUCCGUCCCGCCUCCGACUCUUUACUCUCCGGUCCGAGUCGUCCCUCUGAGACCCCGCCUCCACCCUGCAAACAGCCACAGGGCGGCGGUGCCGCGGGUGACCACGCCCCUCCAGCCAAUCGGCGCCGCCGCCCCCCCCGCCUGUCGGGCCCCCCUCCCCGUCAGCAGGCCGG
Long non-coding RNA from Gasterosteus aculeatus aculeatus (three-spined stickleback), 686 nucleotides. The record is from Ensembl. Lineage: Eukaryota; Metazoa; Chordata; Actinopteri; Perciformes; Gasterosteidae.